CAGCGUUGGCGCCCGAGAAGUUGGCGGGAAGGCGAGCGGGCGGCGCUGGGGCGCCAGAGGCGAGUCCCGGGAGUCUGUGCUUUCUGGAGUUUGUUUCCUUGGUCUCCUCGGCAGAGUCUGACCGGAGGAACUUCGCAAACGGAAGGAAUUGUGCUUGAGCAUUAUUGGUAAAGAGCCGUGUUUGACUUCUGUUGGACUUUGAAACUCUUUGCCCAUGGUGGUGAACGUAGCCCUCGGAGUUUUCCUAACAAGCCUUACACUGUUAUGUGUGUAUUUUGUAACCUUCAACCCUGGAUCCUGUAUUUGAAGAGCCCGUUACUUCUUCCAUGUUCAUGUAGCUCCAGAACAGCUCCCAAGGUGAAAAACAGCCAGCUCCCCUGACCCAGAAGCUCCUCAGCCACACCUCAGUCUGUGUUAAUAAAGUGAUUUUUGAAAAAACCCUGGAUAAUUACAGGAUUGAGAAUUGGUUGCCAGGUAACCUACCAAGUACUCAAGAGGUUUGAAUUCAAAGCUCCACCCAUCUGUCCUCUGGAGAAGGGAAAGAAUAGCUAAAUUUAAAUUCAUUACUAAUAGAUGAUGAUUUAAUCAAUGAUAUUUACAUAAUAAAUCAAUAAAAACACAAAGAGAUGAGGCUCAGCUGGCUUCCAGAUAAGGGGAUACAUGGUGACUCCUCGGUGGAUAGAGCAC
This is a long non-coding RNA of Cavia porcellus (domestic guinea pig), 687 nucleotides long. RefSeq lists it as uncharacterized. The transcript has 3 exons. Lineage: Eukaryota; Metazoa; Chordata; Mammalia; Rodentia; Caviidae. The record is from RefSeq and is a predicted model, not a curated record.